AUAUAAAUAACUUCCACUUGCCAUUUCACAUGACAAGCACUACAUUUCAUUUAUUUAUGGCCUACAACUUAUUAUUUAUGGAUAGUCACAACUGAAGUCUUUAGUUUUUGAGUAUCAUAGAAGAACGACAUUACUUUUUGUAGCGAUAGAACAAAUUGAUCAAUGUUUGACCUUUUUUCAGCUAUUAUUGGAACACUAAGAUGCACAAAAUCAACCUGUAUUAGAGCCAAUGGUCCUUUCCAAACGUGAAAUCUUGCAUGUGUUAUUUAUCAAUUCCAAAAGGUGAUGGUUGUGUUAUUAUGUUAGAAAAGAGGUACUUGUACAAUUUUGCUACUAAUUUUGGCUAAGGGUUUUUCGGUUCUCAUCUCUAUAUGGAUAUGCUUUUUUUAGGUUAGUGGUUUAGGAGUUCCUGCCAAGACUGGCUUUUGGAAUUUAUCCUCGUUUCGCCAGUUGGGCUUAACAAGGACAUAAUUGAUUCUUUGUUGGUAAUUAGAAAAAGAUAUCUGGUUGGAGAAAACUUCUCUUUUGGUUAAUUGAUUGUUUCUGAAUUUUAGUAAUCUUUUUUAGAUUUUCUUUUUUCAGGUUAGUAGUACGGGACUUCCUGUCAAGAACGACUUUUGGAAGUUAUGCUAGCUUCAUCAGUUGGGAUUUCUGUACAGAACUAAGAUAAUUUAUUUUGGUGCUUGCGAUGAGUAUUAGACAGAGGGGUGAUGGACACAUACUUCACCCAGUAUAUUUGUUCAUUUAUGUUGUUAAUUAACUAAUUAGGAAAAAAGCCUCUAUCUGUAUGGUGUUUGUGAUGAUGCUCUCAAUUCACCAAACACUAAAUACCGGGUUGUGCUUUUCAAAUCUAGCAAAUUAAUUUUCUCUAUUGCUUCUUUUCCAAACAGAAGUAUUAGAUCCACUGUGCCAUGAGUCAUACUAUCAAAAUAUUAUAUAAGCCACGCCGGAUGAUUAUAGGUAACUUAUAUCAAGAACUUUGUUUUAGCAGCACAAUUCGGAUAACUUGCAGUUUUAUACCAACGAAAAAACUAUUACAUACCAGAUCAAACAUAGAAGCCAGGCUGAACAUUGCGAUCUUACAGAUCUGCCAAGUGCAUCCUCAUGAAAUAGAUAGUAGCGUCGCUGAUAAAAAAAGUAGAUUGGCCAAUCUAGGUAGCAUCAGAAGUUGUCUCCAUCGGAAAGAACACUGCCUAAUGCCAUCUUCCAGAAAGCUGGACAUGCAAAAAAU
RNAcentral lists this long non-coding RNA (1231 nucleotides) under Triticum aestivum (bread wheat). Its description in RNAcentral is "long non-coding RNA (TAES_LNC015932)". Lineage: Eukaryota; Viridiplantae; Streptophyta; Magnoliopsida; Poales; Poaceae. The record is from RNAcentral.